RNAcentral lists this transfer RNA (67 nucleotides) under Marmota monax (woodchuck). RNAcentral's name for it is "tRNA.Ala". Lineage: Eukaryota; Metazoa; Chordata; Mammalia; Rodentia; Sciuridae. The record is from RNAcentral.
GGCUGUAGCUCAGUGGUAGAGUGCUUGCCUAGCACAAAUGAAACACUGGGUUCGAUCCUCAGAACCA